GACGAACGCUGGCGGCGUGCUUAACACAUGCAAGUCGAACGGUGAAGGGGUCUGCUUUUGUGGGCCCUGGAUGAGUGGCGAACGGGUGAGUAACACGUGAGUAACCUGCCCCCUUCUUCUGGAUAACCGCAUGAAAGUGUGGCUAAUACGGGAUAUUCUGGGUCUGUCGCAUGAUGGGUCUGGGAAAGAUUGCGCCUUUGGGUGUUUUUGGUGGGGGAUGGGCUCGCGGCCUAUCAGCUUGUUGGUGGGGUGAUGGCCUACCAAGGCGGUGACGGGUAGCCGGACUGAGAGGGUGGACGGUGACACUGGGACUGAGACACGGCCCAGACUCCUACGGGAGGCAGCAGUGGGGAAUAUUGCACAAUGGGCGCAAGCCUGAUGCAGCGACGCCGCGUGAGGGAUGGAGGCCUUCGGGGUGUAAACCUCUUUCGCCAGUGAAGCAGGCCUGCUCCUUGUGGGUGGGUUGACGGUAGCUGGAUAAGAAGCGCCGGCUAACUACGUG
This 502-nucleotide ribosomal RNA is filed under the name uncultured bacterium. RNAcentral describes it as "partial 16S ribosomal RNA". It matches the Rfam family "Bacterial small subunit ribosomal RNA", at positions 28 to 507 of the family's 1533-position model. The record is from RNAcentral.